RNAcentral lists this long non-coding RNA (305 nucleotides) under Androctonus crassicauda. Lineage: Eukaryota; Metazoa; Arthropoda; Arachnida; Scorpiones; Buthidae. The record is from RNAcentral.
UGAAAGUGUCAUGUUUGUAUUGUCAUCUAUGAAAAGAUCAAAGAAUGGCUAUAAAAUAACAAAUCUUGGCCAAUGUAAGUUGGUAAGAAUUUUUAAAUAUUUCACAAACAAAAACACAUUGCCAAAUGUUGUUUUUGUCUCCCCAGAUCUAAUGCCCCCAUUGAAUAGGUAUUUCACUGAGAAAAUUAAAAGUCAAAACAUUAGAAGCAUGUAUUUAUACCUAAUGCAACUUCAAUGUGACAUUUAAAAAUUCAUCAAACUCUAUAUAAUAUAAACCCAAUUUAUUAAAAAAAAUUCAUUCUGGC